AGAACGAACGCUGGCGGCGUGGAUAAGACAUGCAAGUCGAGCGCUGAUUCAAGGGUAGCAAUAUUCUUGAGUCGGAGCGGCGCAAGGGUGCGUAACACGUGGGUAAUUUGCCAUGAAGUCUGGAAUAACUCGCUGAAAGGCGAGCUAAUGCCGGAUGUGAGUUUUCGGGGAGCAUUUCCUGAAACUCAAAGUUGGGACCGUAGGCCUGACGCUUCUGAUAAGCCCGCGGCCUAUCAGCUAGUUGGUGAGGUAACGCUCAACCAAGGCUAAGGACGGUAGCUGGUCUGGAGAGGACGACCAGCCACACGUGAACUGAGACCACGGUCAGACCACC
RNAcentral lists this ribosomal RNA (334 nucleotides) under uncultured soil bacterium. RNAcentral's name for it is "bacterial SSU rRNA". It matches the Rfam family "Bacterial small subunit ribosomal RNA", at positions 26 to 339 of the family's 1533-position model. The record is from RNAcentral.